AUUGGAGAAAGUCUACAAGUAUCUAGCAAUACCCCAUUGGAAAGUCUUCGACAAAGUCCGACUAGUUCUAGAUGGACAACCUCAUAAAGAGGUGUGGGGCACUAGAAAUGGGGUCGGCGAGUCGCAUCUUCGGCAAAAGAUGGUCUAUUUCAGACUAGAUGCCAGCCUGCGACUGUGUCAUAGUUGGAAAGGUCCACGGCCGGCUAGGUGAGUGUAAUCAGCGAGGUGGCUUUAUCGUGAAGUCAGAACUCAAUUCAGACUACUCUUCCCCCAGA
RNAcentral lists this RNase P RNA (275 nucleotides) under Nematostella vectensis (starlet sea anemone). RNAcentral describes it as "Nuclear RNase P". It matches the Rfam family "Nuclear RNase P". Rfam says of the family: Ribonuclease P (RNase P) is a ubiquitous endoribonuclease, found in archaea, bacteria and eukarya as well as chloroplasts and mitochondria. The record is from Rfam by way of RNAcentral. Lineage: Eukaryota; Metazoa; Cnidaria; Anthozoa; Actiniaria; Edwardsiidae.